GACGAACGCUGGCGGCGUGCUUAACACAUGCAAGUCGAACGGAAAGGCCCUGCUUUUGUGGGGUGCUCGAGUGGCGAACGGGUGAGUAACACGUGAGUAACCUGCCCGUGACUUUGGGAUAACUUCAGGAAACUGGGGCUAAUACCGGAUAGGAGCUCCUGCUGCAUGGUGGGGGUUGGAAAGUUUCGGCGGUUGGGGAUGGACUGGCGGCUUAUCAGCUUGUUGGUGGGGUAGUGGCUUACCAAGGCUUUGACGGGUAGCCGGCCUGGGGGGGUGACCGGCCACAUUGGGACUGAGAUACGGCCCAGACUCCUACGGGAGGCAGCAGUGGGGAAUCUUGCACAAUGGGCGGAAGCCUGAUGCAGCAACGCCGCGGGCGGGAAGACGGCCUUCGGGUUGUAAACCGCUUUCGCCUGUGACGGAGGGUGGAUGACGGUAAUGGGUAAAGAAGCACCGGCUAACUACGUG
Molecule: ribosomal RNA, 468 nt
Filed under: uncultured bacterium
Lineage: Bacteria
Description: partial 16S ribosomal RNA
Rfam family: Bacterial small subunit ribosomal RNA
Source: RNAcentral